AAAAAAAUCCACCCCUCUCUCGAAUACAAUAGCAGCAUUUCAAAACAAUGUGAACUCGUAUUAAUUUACUCUGAAUGCUCCUGAUUCAGUGUGGGCUGUCCAGUCCAGCCCUCAACCUCAAAGACAGCCCAACGGAUGCUCCUCUGUUCCCCACAGAGAAGCAAAAGCAUCUCUGGGAAGCCUAGUGCCUCUCUGUAGAUCUGCCUCUCCUUGGUCUCUCAACAUUUCUGCCUCUUUGUUUCCCACUGCAGGGCUUGCUGCAAACUGUUUUCAACUCUCCUCAUUCAAUCCAGCAGCCAGAGACCUAUGAAGCUCUGUCAUUUCAUGAGAUUCAGUCACACAUACCUGAAGCCAUAUAUACCUCUCAAACCGGGGCAAUGAUUGGCUGGUGUAAUAUCUCUUGUUCAGCUAUCAACGCUUAUAUGAACUACUAUAUGGGUAAGGUUUAAAAACAGAGCAAAUCACAUUAUCCAGGAAUGCUACAAAUCUGGAAUCCAGUCAACUCCACCUUUUCAUCUGACUGCUCUAUUAUAAAGGAAAACAUUUUACAUAUAGCAUACUGUAUAUGUAGCAUGUCUUUGUUUAACAUUUUAAUUUGUAAAUGCUAAUUAGGCAGUUGCUCUCCACAAUUAUAUUAUUACACACCUAAUCAUUCUCGAAUAUAAGUAGAUGAAUACUAAAUACAGUAAAAAGCCACUUUGUAUUUCCCAAUACCUCGGCACUGUUCUUCAUUUUGCAAAUGAGUCUUUCCGGACAAAAUAAUAAUAAUAAUAAAAAAACUCUUUGUA
Long non-coding RNA from Terrapene triunguis (Three-toed box turtle), 788 nucleotides. RefSeq lists it as uncharacterized. The transcript is spliced from 2 exons. The record is from RefSeq and is a predicted model, not a curated record. Lineage: Eukaryota; Metazoa; Chordata; Testudines; Emydidae.